GACGAACGCUGGCGGCGUGCCUAAUACAUGCAAGUCGAGCGAACAGAUGAGGAGCUUGCUCCUCUGACGUUAGCGGCGGACGGGUGAGUAACACGUGGAUAACCUACCUAUAAGACUGGGAUAACUUCGGGACACCGGAGCUAAUACCGGAUAAUAUAUUGAACCGCAUGGUUCAAUAGUGAAAGACGGUUUUGCUGUCACUAAUAGAUGGAUCCGCGCCGCAUUAGCUAGUUGGUAAGGUAACGGCUUACCAAGGCAACGAUGCGUAGCCGACCUGAGAGGGGGAUCGGCCACACUGGAACUGGGACACGCUCCAGACUCCUACGGGAGGCAGCAGUAGGGAAUCUUCGGCAAUGGGCGAAAGCCUGACGGAGCAACGCCGCGUGAGUGAGGAAGGUCUUCGGAUCGUAAAACUCUGUUAUUAGGGAAAAACAAAUGUGGAAGUAACUAUGCACGUCUUGACGGUACCUAAUCAGAAAGCCACGGCUAACUACGUG
This 497-nucleotide ribosomal RNA is filed under the name uncultured bacterium. RNAcentral's name for it is "partial 16S ribosomal RNA". It matches the Rfam family "Bacterial small subunit ribosomal RNA", at positions 28 to 507 of the family's 1533-position model. The record is from RNAcentral.